UACGAAGGGUGCAAGCGUUACUCGGAAUUACUGGGCGUAAAGCGUGCGUAGGCGGUUUGUUAAGUCCGUUGUGAAAGCCCUGGGCUCAACCUGGGAAUUGCAGUGGAUACUGGCGAGCUAGAGUGCGGUAGAGGAUGGUGGAAUUCCCGGUGUAGCGGUGAAAUGCGUAGAGAUCGGGAGGAACACCCGUGGCGAAGGCACUCUACUGGGCCACUACUGACACUGAGAGACGAAAGCUAGGGGAGCAAAUGGG
Molecule: ribosomal RNA, 253 nt
Filed under: uncultured bacterium
Lineage: Bacteria
Description: partial 16S ribosomal RNA
Rfam family: Bacterial small subunit ribosomal RNA
Source: RNAcentral